UUGACGGGGCCGCACAAGCGGUGGAGCAUGUGGUUAAUUCGACGCAACGCGAAGAACCUUACCUGGGCUUGACAUCUGCGGAACCUCAUGGAAACAUGGGGGUGUCCAGCAAUGGAAGCCGCAAGACAGGUGCUGCAUGGCUGUCGUCAGCUCGUGUCGUGAGAUGUUGGGUUAAGUCCCGCAACGAGCGCAACCCUUGUCUCUAGUUGCCAUCAUUUAGUUGGGCCACUCUAGAGAGACUGCCGGUGAUAACCGGAGGAAGGUGGGGACGACGUCAAGUCCUCAUGGCCUUUAUGCCCAGGGCUACACACGUGCUACAAUGGGCCGUACAAAGGGUCGCGAACCCGCGAGGGGGAGCCAAUCCCAAAAACCGGUCCUCAGUUCGGAUUGGAGUCUGCAACCCGACUCCAUGAAGUUGGAAUCGCUAGUAAUCGCGGAUCAGCAUGCCGCGGUCGAAUACGUUCCCGGGCCUU
RNAcentral lists this ribosomal RNA (473 nucleotides) under uncultured Desulfobacca sp. RNAcentral describes it as "bacterial SSU rRNA". It matches the Rfam family "Bacterial small subunit ribosomal RNA", at positions 910 to 1382 of the family's 1533-position model. The record is from RNAcentral. Lineage: Bacteria; Pseudomonadati; Thermodesulfobacteriota; Desulfobaccia; Desulfobaccales; Desulfobaccaceae.